CCUACGGGGGGCAGCAGUGAGGAAUAUUGGUCAAUGGGCGCAAGCCUGAACCAGCCAUGCCGCGUGCAGGAAGACGGUCCUAUGGAUUGUAAACUGCUUUUAUUUGGGAAUAAACCUCUUUACGUGUAGAGAGCUGAAGGUACCAAAUGAAUAAGCACCGGCUAACUCCGUGCCAGCAGCCGCGGUAAUACGGAGGGUGCAAGCGUUAUCCGGAAUCAUUGGGUUUAAAGGGUCCGCAGGCGGGAAGAUAAGUCAGUGGUGAAAUCUCACAGCUCAACUGUGAAACUGCCAUUGAUACUGUCUUUCUUGAAUUCGAUCGAAGUGGGCGGAAUGUGACAUGUAGCGGUGAAAUGCUUAGAUAUGUCACAGAACACCGAUAGCGAAGGCAGCUCACUAGGUCUGGAUUGACGCUCAGGGACGAAAGCGUGGGGAGCAAACAGGAUUAGAUACCCGGGUAGUC
Molecule: ribosomal RNA, 460 nt
Filed under: uncultured bacterium
Lineage: Bacteria
Description: bacterial SSU rRNA
Rfam family: Bacterial small subunit ribosomal RNA
Source: RNAcentral